UUUCCACGGUCUCCGUGACGCAGCUAACGCAUUAAGUUCCCCGCCUGGGGAGUACGGCCGCAAGGCUAAAACUCAAAGGAAUUGACGGGGACCCGCACAAGCGGCGGAGCAUGCGGAUUAAUUCGAUGCAACGCGAAGAACCUUACCAAGGCUUGACAUAUAGAGGAAAGGGCUGGAAACAGUCCCCCCGCAAGGUCUCUAUACAGGUGGUGCAUGGUUGUCGUCAGCUCGUGUCGUGAGAUGUUGGGUUAAGUCCCGCAACGAGCGCAACCCUCGUUCUAUGUUGCCAGCACGUAAUGGUGGGAACUCAUGGGCUACUGCCGGGGUCAACUCGGAGGAAGGUGGGGAUGACGUCAAAUCAUCAUGCCCCUUAUGUCUUGGGCUUCACGCAUGCUACAAUGGCCGGUACAAAGGGCUGCAAUACCGUGAGGUGGAGCGAAUCCCAAAAAGCCGGUCCCAGUUCGGAUUGAGGUCUGCAACUCGACCUCAUGAAGUCGGAGUCGCUAGUAAUCGCAGAUCAGCAACGCUGCGGUGAAUACGUUCCCGGGUCUUGUACACACCGCCCGUCAAGUCAUGAAAGUCGGUAACACCUGAAGCCGGUGGCCUAACCC
RNAcentral lists this ribosomal RNA (611 nucleotides) under Microbacterium sp. m7-8. RNAcentral describes it as "bacterial SSU rRNA". It matches the Rfam family "Bacterial small subunit ribosomal RNA", at positions 829 to 1441 of the family's 1533-position model. The record is from RNAcentral. Lineage: Bacteria; Bacillati; Actinomycetota; Actinomycetes; Micrococcales; Microbacteriaceae.